UAGGGAAUCUUCGGCAAUGGGGGCAACCCUGACCGAGCAACGCCGCGUGAGUGAAGAAGGUUUUCGGAUCGUAAAGCUCUGUUGUAAGAGAAGAACGUGUGUGAGAGUGGAAAGUUCACACAGUGACGGUAACUUACCAGAAAGGGACGGCUAACUACGUGCCAGCAGCCGCGGUAAUACGUAGGUCCCGAGCGUUGUCCGGAUUUAUUGGGCGUAAAGCGAGCGCAGGCGGUUUAAUAAGUCUGAAGUUAAAGGCAGUGGCUUAACCAUUGUUCGCUUUGGAAACUGUUAAACUUGAGUGCAGAAGGGGAGAGUGGAAUUCCAUGUGUAGCGGUGAAAUGCGUAGAUAUAUGGAGGAGCGCCGGUGGCGAAAGCGGCUCUCUGGUCUGUAACUGACGCUGAGGCUCGAAAGCGUGGGGAGCAAACAGG
Molecule: ribosomal RNA, 429 nt
Filed under: bacterium
Lineage: Bacteria
Description: partial 16S ribosomal RNA
Rfam family: Bacterial small subunit ribosomal RNA
Source: RNAcentral